AUGUAUACCUUCUUGAUGCCUUUGUUCAAGUGGGAACUUACUGAAGUAGCCAUGGUAGAAGAUGUUCGGGAUAAUGAGCAGGCAGGGAUAGAAGAGAGGAGAGGGGGCAGGGUGGUGUUAGUCAUGUCUGGUGGCACCAAGUUCCCUCUGAAAGUGCGGCCCAUGCGCUUCCUGGACAAUUUCAGCAGCGGGCGGCGCGGCACCACCUGGGCAGAGGCCUUUCUGGCCGCAGGCUAUGGGGUCCUAUUCUUGUACAGUGCUCGCUCCGCCUUCCCCUAUACCUGUCGCUUUCCACCUCAGACCUGGCUGGGCCAGCCCACUCAGGCAUGGUGAGCCUAGAAGUCAAGUAGAAUGCACUAGCCUGGCUUUGCCGAGGUUUUGCGGAGCUAUCAGGAGGCAUCGACAGCCGGCACCUUCCUAGCCGUAGAGUUCACCACUUUGGCAGACUAUUUGCAUCUGCUUCAGGCUGCGGCACAAGCACUCAGCAUUCUAGGCCCUUCUGUGAUGUUUUACCUGGCUACGGCCAUGUCAGAUUUCUAUAUUCCUGUCUCUGGAAUGCCUGAACACAAGAUCCAGUCACCUGGGGGCCCACUGCAGAUAACUAUGAAGAUGGUGCCAAAAAUGCUUUCUCCUUUAGUUAAAGAUUGGGCUUCCAAAGCAUAUAUAAUAUCCUUUAAAUUGGAGACUGACCCUUCCAUUGUCAUUAGUCGUGCUCAGAACACUUUGGAAGUUUAUCAGCAUCAAGUGGUGGUGACUAAUAUCCUUGAGUCAAUACAGUCUUUUGUAGUUAUUGUAACCAAAGAUUCAGAAACCAAGUUAUUGCUAUCAGAGGAAGUAGAAAAAGGCAUAGUAAUAGAACAGAAGAUCGUAGAUAAUCUUCGGUCUCAACACACAGCUUUUGAUGAAAUAAACAAAAGCCUCGGGCAUGCGGCGCAGACGUCACAGCCUUCACCGUCCGUCCACUUUCCGUUUUGCUUUCGCUCGCGGGAGGCGCCCCUCGCCGGGCCCCGCGGCGCCAGCUGA
This is an RNA transcript of Octodon degus (degu), 1023 nucleotides long. It is a transcript of the gene named phosphopantothenate--cysteine ligase-like, with no coding region annotated. The record is from RefSeq and is a predicted model, not a curated record. The transcript has 4 exons. NCBI's taxonomy places the organism in Eukaryota, Metazoa, Chordata, Mammalia, Rodentia, Octodontidae.